This is an unclassified non-coding RNA of Sarcophilus harrisii (Tasmanian devil), 280 nucleotides long. It matches the Rfam family "Metazoan signal recognition particle RNA". From Rfam's summary of the family: The signal recognition particle (SRP) is a universally conserved ribonucleoprotein. It is involved in the co-translational targeting of proteins to membranes. NCBI's taxonomy places the organism in Eukaryota, Metazoa, Chordata, Mammalia, Dasyuromorphia, Dasyuridae. The record is from Ensembl.
GCCGGGCAUGAUGGUCUGUGCUUGUAGUCCUAGCUACUCAGGAGGCUGAGGAUGGUGGAUCACUUAAGCCCAGGAGUUCUGGGCUGCCAUGUGCUAUGCCGAUUGAGUAUCUGCACUAAGUUUAGCAUCAACCCCUGGGAACAGGGGACCACCAGGUUGCCUAAGGAGGGGUGAACCGGCCCAGGCUGGAAACGGAGCAGGUCAAAUACAAGAUGGGAGAGACAUGACUAGAUAAACAGUUCAUAUAAAAAAGAUCCUGGGUUUACAGAACCAAGUGCUA